GAUUCGUAAUGUAUAAUUUAUUUAAUACCUGACCUUUUGUGGCAAUGGCAAACAAUUUAAAUCCUUAACACGUGUCCUUCCCACACCAUAUACAAUCCACGGUUAAUGAGUUACAACCGUUUGUUUUAUUAUUAAAUAUUAAUUCUACGUAACCUUGAUAUAGGUACAUCAUAACGUGUACUGAUAUUAUUUUUGAGCGCAAUGAAAAUAAACACACACAACCCAUUGGUGAAUCGAAGUGUAUACGCAGCU
Molecule: non-coding RNA, 252 nt
Organism: Cinara cedri
Lineage: Eukaryota; Metazoa; Arthropoda; Insecta; Hemiptera; Aphididae
Source: the annotation of a GenBank genome assembly